This is a long non-coding RNA of Rhincodon typus (whale shark), 478 nucleotides long. RefSeq lists it as uncharacterized. Lineage: Eukaryota; Metazoa; Chordata; Chondrichthyes; Orectolobiformes; Rhincodontidae. The record is from RefSeq and is a predicted model, not a curated record. The transcript has 3 exons.
CAGCAGUACCUGGCAAACAGCUAACAACAGUGGAUUUUUCAUCAGUUCUGAGCUGGUGAUAUUGGGACAAGCAAGACACUUACUGUUCCUGGUUUUGAGUCCUCUCUGUGACCCAGGUUAUGUUCAAUGGCUUGCAUUUAUAAAGCGUCUUUGAUGCAAUCCAACAUCCCAAGGACUUUCAGGAAGUUAGCAAACAUCAAGCUAGACAGGUAGUUGUCAAGACCUUGGCACACAGCAUAUUUACCAGAAUGCUUCCAGGUAGAUGUAAAAGAUGACACGCAUGGGAUUUCCCAGAGGCCUGGUACUCAACCCGGAACUCCAUCAACAAACGUGGAAAUAGACCCCAUCUACCAACCGCUACAAAGCAGAACCAGAAAUGAGGCUAACCAUCAGAUCAGACUGGACCCACAUAAAUAACAAGUGGGACAAACCAACAGCGCAUCAUCGGAGGCACACUGAUGAUAUUACCUAAUAUGAU